This 229-nucleotide ribosomal RNA is filed under the name uncultured bacterium. RNAcentral's name for it is "partial 16S ribosomal RNA". It matches the Rfam family "Bacterial small subunit ribosomal RNA", at positions 15 to 233 of the family's 1533-position model. The record is from RNAcentral.
GAUCAUGGCUCAGGAUGAACGCUAGCUACAGGCUUAACACAUGCAAGUCGAGGGGCAGCAUGGUCUUAGCUUGCUAAGGCCGAUGGCGACCGGCGCACGGGUGAGUAACACGUAUCCAACCUGCCGUCUACUCUUGGCAGCCUUCUGAAGGAAGNUUAAUACAAGAUGGCAUCAUGAGUUCACAUGUUCACAUGUAUUAAAGGUACUUCCGGGUAAGACGAUUGGGGAG